AAAAAAGAGUUGCGAGGCAAUCUUUUUCUCCCUCUCUUGGUUUUAUUUCCAUAUUAGGAUCCUCUCAGAUUGCAGUGAAUUUAACACGUUCUAACCAGUUGUUAUGCAAUAAAUGACAAAUAACAAACAUGAAAAGUGUAACUGAGCUACCAAACCUUUAAAAAAGCAUGUUCUAAUUGAAUGUGAUUGUGUUAACAUUUACACUAUCAGUGUGAACAGAUAAACUGCUUAUCAAUAUAAACGUAUUACGUCACGUCUGGUUAGGACACAGUCCUAUUGUAAAUUCACUUUAAAAGCUUUUGCUUGCUUUAGCAUCUAUGAGACUAAUAUGCUUUUGAACUAAAUGUAAUACAAAUCAAAAUGGACAUCUUUGAAAACAAGUUAUGUUUUUGUUCACAUAUAUUCAGAUAUUCCAAUAUUAAGGGAUUUGCAAUGAAGUGAUAUUUUUCCUUAGUUUUUAAAAAUCCCAACUUGGUACAAGAGAAUUCUAUUCUUAGUAGAAUAGAACUGAAUAUAUGAAAUUACAUGUAUUACUGUUUGAAAGUUUUUUAAGAAAUACUGUUUUCUUGUUUUUUUCAGUAAGGAUGCAUCAAUCAAAAGUGACUGUAAAGACAUUUAUAAUAUUACAAUAUCCUGAAAUCAUGUCAAAGUAAUAUUUUUGUGAAAAAUAUUUAGCAGCACUGUUUUAAGCGUUGGUAACAAUAAGUAGUAAAGUUUCUUGAGCAGCAAAUCGGCAUAUCAGAAUGAUUUCUGAAGGAUCAUGUGACACUGAAGACUGGAGGAAUGAUGCUGAAAAUCUCACAGAAAUAACUUAUCUUUUAUAAUGCAUUUAAAAAAGAAAAUGGCUAUUUUAAAUUGUAAUAACCUUUCACGGUAUUACUGUUUUACUGUAUUUUUGGUCAGCCUUAAAAAUCUUACCGACCCAAAUGUUUUGAAUGGUAUCAACUACAUAACCGGAACUGAUGAUACCACUCAAACAGUGGCUAACACACAUUUAGAUAAACACUAGGCUUUUCUGGGCACCUGUUUUCACCUCAUGCAAGUGUCUUUCAACAUCUGUUUAUUCUUCUUUUAAUGCUUUCCUAAGGCUGAGCGGACAGUCAGUCAUUUUGUAUGUGGACAAAAUGAGUGAAAGCAACAACAUGGUUUAACAGACUCUUUUUUUACCACUUAUUUAUGAUGGAUUUUCUAAAGCUUUACCUUAAAACAGCCAUGAGAAGUAUAGAGGUCGUAUUACUGAAGCUUUCUAUUCAGAUGUGUUUCCAUUGUAAGGACGUCUGAGUGAUAUGUACGUCAGUGAAACAGCAUGGAAAACAAGCCACUCCUUCAUCGGCUGGCCAAAGCAAAGCUGCGUCACAGCAUCACUGCAUCCCUGAACCACUGUGCCCUCAUUUAUAAACACAAACUUUAUCAAGAAGUUACUGGAGAACCUCCCAUGAGGAAUGUUUGUUUGACUUCUGGAAGUCUGUAUUUUGUUACAAUAAUGGCCUUGUUACAUGGUUGUGUCUAUAAUUGUAUUUUAAAGAGGGCUGGAUGACUCGAAUUUCUUCUUUUUUUCUUUUCUAUCACACCCGCUGAAACUGUGUGAUAUUUACACUCUAUUUUAAAAUUAAACUAUUACUAAUCAG
Cyprinus carpio (common carp) is the source of this 1628-nucleotide long non-coding RNA. RefSeq lists it as uncharacterized. The record is from RefSeq and is a predicted model, not a curated record. Lineage: Eukaryota; Metazoa; Chordata; Actinopteri; Cypriniformes; Cyprinidae. The transcript is spliced from 2 exons.